AGAGGAAGUUUUCGGAUGGAAUCGGCGUAACUUAGUGGCGGACGGGUGAGUAACGCGUGGGAAACCUGCCCUGUACCGGGGGAUAACACUUAGAAAUAGGUGCUAAUACCGCAUAAGCGCACAGCUUCACAUGAGGCAGUGUGAAAAACUCCGGUGGUACAGGAUGGUCCCGCGUCUGAUUAGCCAGUUGGCAGGGUAACGGCCUACCAAAGCGACGAUCAGUAGCCGGCCUGAGAGGGUGAACGGCCACAUUGGGACUGAGACACGGCCCAAACUCCUACGGGAGGCAGCAGUGGGGAAUAUUGCACAAUGGGGGAAACCCUGAUGCAGCGACGCCGCGUGAGUGAAGAAGUAUUUCGGUAUGUAAAGCUCUAUCAGCAGGGAAGAAAAUGACGGUACCUGACUAAGAAGCCCCGGCUAACUACGUGCCAGCAGCCGCGGUAAUACGUAGGGGGCAAGCGUUAUCCGGAUUUACUGGGUGUAAAGGGAGCGUAGACGGCAUGACAAGCCAGAUGUGAAAACCCAGGGCUCAACCCUGGGACUGCAUUUGGAACUGCCAGGCUGGAGUGCAGGAGAGGUAAGCGGAAUUCCUAGUGUAGCGGUGAAAUGCGUAGAUAUUAGGAGGAACACCAGUGGCGAAGGCGGCUUACUGGACUGUAACUGACGUUGAGGCUCGAAAGCGUGGGGAGCAAACAGGAUUAGAUACCCUGGUAGUCCACGCGGUAAACGAUGAUUGCUAGGUGUAG
RNAcentral lists this ribosomal RNA (746 nucleotides) under uncultured bacterium. RNAcentral describes it as "bacterial SSU rRNA". It matches the Rfam family "Bacterial small subunit ribosomal RNA", at positions 69 to 825 of the family's 1533-position model. The record is from RNAcentral.